GAUGAAGAACGCAGCGAAAUGCGAUACUUGGUGUGAAUUGCAGAAUCCCGUGAACCAUCGAGUCUUUGAACGCAAGUUGCGCCCGAAGCCACUAGGCCGAGGGCACGCCUGCCUGGGCGUCACACGCCGUUGCCCCCCCAUCUACUCCUUCGGGAUUGCGGGGGGGCGGAUGAUGGCCUCCCGUGCGCCUAGCCGCGCGGUUGGCAUAAAUACCAAGUCCUCGGCGACGCACGCCACGACAAUCGGUGGUUGCGAAACCUCGGUUGCCCGUCGUGUGCGUUCGUCGCGCACCGAGGGCUCGAAAAAAUGCUCGGCUCCGGCUGGGCUUUCAACGCGACCCCAGGUCAGGCGGGGUUACCCGCUGAAUUUAAGCAUAUCAAUAAGCGGAGGA
RNAcentral lists this unclassified non-coding RNA (391 nucleotides) under soil metagenome. Its description in RNAcentral is "partial contains 5.8S ribosomal RNA, internal transcribed spacer 2, and large subunit ribosomal RNA". The stretch from base 1 to 122 matches the Rfam family "5.8S ribosomal RNA", at positions 35 to 154 of the family's 154-position model. The record is from RNAcentral.